CUCUUUUAAUGACCCCAUAAUCCUUGGUAGGGUAGAGUCUAGGCAACUGAGUGGAGUUGAGUGUUUACUGGCCGGAUGCCCUUACUGUUGCCAAUGUGGACUUUU
Non-coding RNA from Notechis scutatus (mainland tiger snake), 105 nucleotides. NCBI's taxonomy places the organism in Eukaryota, Metazoa, Chordata, Lepidosauria, Squamata, Elapidae. The record is from RefSeq and is a predicted model, not a curated record.